UCCCUGGAAGUCCAGUGGUGAAGAUUUUACACUUCCAAUGCAGGGGAUGCAGGUUCAAUUCCUGGUCAGGGAA
This 73-nucleotide transfer RNA is filed under the name Capra hircus (goat). It matches the Rfam family "tRNA". Rfam says of the family: Transfer RNA (tRNA) molecules are approximately 80 nucleotides in length. Their secondary structure includes four short double-helical elements and three loops (D, anti-codon, and T loops). RNAcentral also lists the same sequence under 1 other name. Lineage: Eukaryota; Metazoa; Chordata; Mammalia; Artiodactyla; Bovidae. The record is from Rfam by way of RNAcentral.